Molecule: long non-coding RNA, 586 nt
Filed under: Equus caballus (horse)
Lineage: Eukaryota; Metazoa; Chordata; Mammalia; Perissodactyla; Equidae
Description: lncRNA (ENSECAG00000053333.1)
Source: RNAcentral
AACAAAGGGUGACCCAGAGUUGGGACAGGGUCAUUGUUCGCAUCUCUGUGCAAAACCAGCUUCCCCUGCCUCCCCCAGCAGCUACUGGAGUGGAAGACCCAGCUUCCUUGCCACUGAUAUUCUCAGGAGCCCCACCAUCGGCAGAAGAAACAAAAACGUAGCUGUUAUGUAGUGACCUGGAGGACAGAUGGGUUGCUGAGCAUCUUUAGGAAUCAUAGAAAUAGUGGGAAAGAAGGGGAAAUCUUUCUGGGGAAAGACAACGUUGACAUUCCUUCUUCAAGAGAUGGCAUCUAUAUUCCCUCCCCUUGACUCUGGGCUGAACUUUGAAACUGCAGAAGUGAUAUGACUUCCAGAUGCUACAGAAAAAAAUGGCUUUAAAAAAACAGAUGUUGAAGGGAGAAAUGAUCUUCAACAAAUAAGAGGACCUAUUCAAGAUCCAUGGAUGUAGUAAGCAAAAUCUAUCAAGACUCACUUGGCUUCACCAUCCCUGAACUGUGGCCUGGAAACUCCCUCAAGUUUUCAUAGGAAAGAGCGACAAAGAAGAAGUAGGAAGACACGGGGAGAAAGGAGAGGACCAGAAGUGAAG